Molecule: ribosomal RNA, 492 nt
Filed under: uncultured bacterium
Lineage: Bacteria
Description: partial 16S ribosomal RNA
Rfam family: Bacterial small subunit ribosomal RNA
Source: RNAcentral
AGUGAACGCUGGCGGUAGGCCUAACACAUGCAAGUCGAACGGCAGCCCAGUAAGAGCUUGCUCUUACGGGUGGCGAGUGGCGGACGGGUGAGGAAUACAUCGGAAUCUACUUUUUCGUGGGGGGUAACGUAGGGAAACUUACGCUAAUACCGCAUACGACCUACGGGUGAAAGCAGGGGAUCUUCGGACCUUGCGCGAUUGAAUGAGCCGAUGUCGGAUUAGCCAGUUGGCGGGGUAAAGGCCCACCAAGGCGACGAUCCGUAGCUGGUCUGAGAGGAUGAUCAGCCACACUGGAACUGAGACACGGUCCAGACUCCUACGGGAGGCAGCAGUGGGGAAUAAUGGACGAUGGGAGCAAGCCUGAUCCAGCCAUACCGCGUGGGUGAAGAAGGCCUUCGGGUUGUAAAGCCCUUUUGUUGGGAAAGAAAAGCAGCAGGUUAAUACCCCGCUGUUCUGACGGUACCCAAAGAAUAAGCACCGGCUAACUUCGUG